GUCAAUACUCGACCCACUCCACAGAUCUGGACUCAGCUCGGUUCAAAUCCAGUUCUACCUUCUUGACAGUGACGCCUCCUGGGAACAAAAGAUGCGUUUUGGCCAAACACAGACCCGCUUUUAAAAGUCUCAUUGUGACAACAGCUCGGUCGGACCCAGGGUGGUCUUAUUCCUCCUUCAGCUCGACCCCGAGAUCCCACAGCCCCUACAAGCCGGUGAAUGUCACGCUGAAACACUGAUGGCCGCUUGUGCAACGCUACUUCCGCGUCUACGGCAACUACGACCUGCCAAAAAGUACAAAUGUGCGCUUUAAUAUUAAUAAUGAAACGUCGCCACCUUCGAAAAAAUAAAACACAAGUAAUCAAUCAAAUGUUCAGUUUGACAUAUUUUAAAAUAUAAAUAUACAAACACGAUCUAAAAUGAUUAAAAAGCCAAAUAGGAACAUGCUGCUUUCGAAUGCUGUCAUGCUCUGUCCACGUGUGGCAAAGGUUCAUCCAGAUAGCUACAACAGUAUUCAGGGAUUUAAGAGAAACCUUCUUACUUUUAAACAACUUUCAGAUUUUUAUUUUCGUCUGUGUGUCUUUUUGUGUGUGCAUUUUUUCAACUUUUAACUAAUUGUGUUACCUGGAUGUGGGCUGAUACCAGACUGCAGGACUUGACAGCUCCCCAAAAGUGAAGCCAACUGUUCUUGAUCGCCCCCCAAUGACUUGCUGCAGUAUCGGUCAAAAGAGUUCCAUGAGCAACAAUUAGGUGAUUCUUAGUUACAGAUUUGCACGUUCACAAGUUAAGACAAGUUUAAAAACACUUCAAUGGUGCAACUCGAUGUAACAAAUCACUGGGAGACUUUGAAUUCAUGGAGAUGAUAGCUGGUGGUUUUUAGUCAAAGUGUGAAACUAGUUAUACAUCUUCAACUUCACAUUUUGUUUGAUUGUCAGCUGGGAUGUUCACUUAUCAUCAUGUUAAUCCUCAGUCAGUUCAGCUCAAGGUGACGGUUAAAAUGACUGUGACUCUGCCAUGCUCUGUUCGACAUGCAUUAUUUCCUCUUUCAUGUCAACCAUGCUUGUACAACAGAACUGCACACACCCACACACAAGCACACACACUACACACAUACAAACACACACACUAGCCACAGACACAUCCCCCACACAGCCUGACAGUUAAAAAACCUCCACAUCCCUGUCAGCCGCUCACAGCUGCUUCACAUGCACCAGAGCAGCAGCUCAACUUCUGUCUGAUAUUAACUCCUCUUACAUGGAGAGAACGGAUCAUGUUGCGAUUCCACAGAGGAAAAUGGAUUAUAUGACUAAUGGCUGACUGCUCUGUGAGAGACUCGUUGGUUUCAAA
Pleuronectes platessa (European plaice) is the source of this 1347-nucleotide long non-coding RNA. RefSeq lists it as uncharacterized. NCBI's taxonomy places the organism in Eukaryota, Metazoa, Chordata, Actinopteri, Pleuronectiformes, Pleuronectidae. The record is from RefSeq and is a predicted model, not a curated record. The transcript has 2 exons.